UUAAGCAUAUCAAUAAGCGGAGGAAAAGAAACCAACAGGGAUUGCCCCAGUAACGGCGAGUGAAGCGGCAACAGCUCAAAUUUGAAAUCUGGCUUCGGCCCGAGUUGUAAUUUGUAGAGGAUGCUUUUGGUGCGGUGCCUUCUGAGUUCCCUGGAACGGGACGCCAUAGAGGGUGAGAGCCCCGUAUAGUUGGACACCAAACCUCUGUAAAGCUCCUUCGACGAGUCGAGUAGUUUGGGAAUGCUGCUCAAAAUGGGAGGUAAAUUUCUUCUAAAGCUAAAUACCGGCUAGAGACCGAUAGCGCACAAGUAGAGUGAUCGAAAGAUGAAAAGCACUUUGAAAAGAGGGUUAAACAGUACGUGAAAUUGUUGAAAGGGAAGCGCUUAUGACCAGACUUGCGCCCGGUGAAUCAUCCAGCGUUCUCGCUGGUGCACUUUGCCGGGUUCAGGCCAGCAUCGGUUUCCUUAGGGGGAUAAAAGCUUCAGGAACGUAGCUCUUUCGGGAGUGUUAUAGCCUGUUGCAUAAUACCUUUCAGGGGACCGAGGUUCGCGCUCUGCAAGGAUGCUGGCGUAAUGGUCAUCAGCGACCCGUCUUGAAACACGGACCAAGGAGUCAAGCAUUAGGGCGAGUGUUUGGGUGUUAAACCCGCACGCGUAAUGAAAGUGAAUGUAGGUGAGAGCUUCGGCGCAUCAUCGACCGAUCCUGAUGUAUUCGGAUGGAUUUGAGUAAGAGCCUUACCGCUUGGACCCGAAAGAUGGUGAACUAUGCCUGUAUAGGGUGAAGCCAGAGGAAACUCUGGUGGAGGCUCGCAGCGGUUCUGACGUGCAAAUCGAUCGUCAAAUAUGGGCAUGGGGGCGAAAGACUAAUCGAACCAUCUAGUAGCU
Molecule: ribosomal RNA, 884 nt
Filed under: Aquimonospora tratensis
Lineage: Eukaryota; Fungi; Ascomycota; Sordariomycetes
Description: Sordariomycetes sp. JY-2018 partial large subunit ribosomal RNA
Rfam family: Eukaryotic large subunit ribosomal RNA
Source: RNAcentral